GCACAUGCAUGAUCGGAGCGGUGCGGCUCCUUCGGAGAGUACACGAGCGGCGAACGGGUGAGUAACACGUGAGCAAUCUGCCCUUCACUUCGGGAUAACCCUCGGAAACGAGAGCUAAUACCGGAUACGACCACUUCAGGCAUCUGAUGGUGGCGGAAAGUUCCGGCGGUGGAGGAUGAGCUCGCGGCCUAUCAGCUUGUUGGUGAGGUAACGGCCCACCAAGGCAACGACGGGUAGCCGGCCUGAGAGGGUGACCGGCCACACUGGGACUGAGACACGGCCCAGACUCCUACGGGAGGCAGCAGUGGGGAAUAUUGGACAAUGGGCGAAAGCCUGAUCCAGCAACGCCGCGUGAGGGAUGACGGCCUUCGGGUUGUAAACCUCUUUCGCCUGUCACGAAGCGAAAGUGACGGUAGCAGGUAAAGAAGCACCGGCCAACUACGUGCCAGCAGCCGCGGUAAU
RNAcentral lists this ribosomal RNA (462 nucleotides) under uncultured bacterium. RNAcentral's name for it is "bacterial SSU rRNA". It matches the Rfam family "Bacterial small subunit ribosomal RNA", at positions 51 to 524 of the family's 1533-position model. The record is from RNAcentral.